Non-coding RNA from Oryza glaberrima (African rice), 96 nucleotides. The record is from Rfam. Lineage: Eukaryota; Viridiplantae; Streptophyta; Magnoliopsida; Poales; Poaceae.
UGGCCGGUGAUGGAUGAAACCUGAGUUGUACAGACACUCUUAGUGAGUUGUAUGAAGUGCAUUGAAACACACACACACAUUGCGUCUCUGAGGCCA